This 445-nucleotide ribosomal RNA is filed under the name uncultured bacterium. RNAcentral describes it as "partial 16S ribosomal RNA". It matches the Rfam family "Bacterial small subunit ribosomal RNA", at positions 354 to 796 of the family's 1533-position model. The record is from RNAcentral.
GUAGGGAAUAUUGGUCAAUGGACGAAAGUCUGAACCAGCCAUUCCGCGUGCAGGAAGAAGAUUCUAUGGAUUGUAAACUGCUUUUAGCAGAGAAGAAACGCCUUCAUUGAUGAGGGUUUGACGGUAUCUGCGGAAUAAGCACCGGCUAACUCCGUGCCAGCAGCCGCGGUAAUAUGGGGGGUGCAAGCGUUAUCCGGAAUCACUGGGUUUAAAGGGUGCGUAGGCGGGAAAUUAAGUCAGUGGUGAAAGUCUGUUGCUUAACGAUAGAAUUGCCGUUGAUACUGAUUUUCUUGAAUUGGGUUGAGGUUAGCGGAAUGUGACAUGUAGCGGUGAAAUGCAUAGAUAUGUCAUGGAACACCAAUUGCAAAGGCAGCUAGCUGGGCCUUGAUUGACGCUGAGGCACGAAAGCGUGGGUAGCGAACAGGAUUAGAAACCCUUGAAGUCC